This is a non-coding RNA of Malus domestica (apple), 1961 nucleotides long. NCBI's taxonomy places the organism in Eukaryota, Viridiplantae, Streptophyta, Magnoliopsida, Rosales, Rosaceae. The record is from RefSeq and is a predicted model, not a curated record.
UCUCUCUCUAAAAAAAAAAAAACCCAAAAAUGGCUUUGGAGCACCAACGACGAAUUAAAGUACGAGUGCUAAGAUUUCAAGAAGCCCUUGGUCAUGGCUAUCAAGAGUCUGAUUUAUGAAUCCCAGAGCAAGUGACAUUUGGGUUUUUUAAUUAAUUUGCUAAUUUAAUUUUUGUCUUUUUAAGUUUGGGUUGUUAAUAUUCAUGCUUAAUGGUUAAAUCUUUGCAUGAAUUUUUUUGUGGUCAACGAGUAUUUUAGCUUCAAAGUAUAUGAGUUUGUGCUAAUUUAACUCUUGGAUUGUUAAGCAUAUAUAUAUAUUGUUUAUCUCAUUAGCUACUAAUUAUCCGCUAAUUUUAGCUUCUGGGCUGUGAAAUUUCUUAUUCUUCAAUUUUGGUGCUUAUCUCCUCUGUCAUCAUCAAUUUUGGUGGUUAUGUUGGGCUUUCAUUUUUCCACAGGACUUUAAGGAUAUCCUCAGGUCAUUUGGUAUCGUCUUCUUUGCGUGUCUCUCCCUCUCUUCGACAGCAACGCCUCUGAUUUUUCUUGGUAAUCGCUUUUGUGUUUUCUUGGUAUUUAGGAUCUAAGAUUUUUGGUUUAUGAAGAGCAGCUGCAGGCGAAGUAUGAGCUGCUGAAGAACUUGGACUCUAUCGCAAUGUUGUUUACUAGACCUUGGAAUGUUUGGAUUUUUAUCCGGUUUCGUGUUCAACCAACUAUUUGAUGAAUUUGUAUUCCUACUAAAGAUAUGAGUGUUGGGAAUGAAAUAAAUAUGCAAGUUUUUGCAUAAGUAAUAUACAUUUUUGCCUUCCCUCUCACAGCUUUGUUCGUUGGCUUCCUCCAUUGACCUCCACACCUACAUCUCUCUUCGUUCGAAUGUUAGAUAAGGAGUACAUCACUGACAACAUGUUGCAACUAAGGAUAUUAUGAUACUAUGAAUCAUAGAUAUGACAAAUCAAAAGCACUAUGGAUUCGAAUUGGAUUGGGUGCUUGGUGCUGUACUUUCCAUGGAUAUUUUGGAGGCGUCGUGUGAUUUACAGCGUCUAGGCCGGCCUAGCUCACAGAGAUCUUCGUUGAUGUGUUUAGGCAGAAAUUACAGAGGAGCUUAUUUGUUGGAGAUUCGAGGAGGAAAACUUAGCACCGUGGCACCACUGGAAGUGGUAAUUGCUAAUCAGGUUUUCACUCUUUUUUCCACAUACUUUGGUUCAAAGCAUGUAGAAAUGUCAAGUUUAGUUGGAUGCUAGCAAGUGGUUUCCGUUUCCAUCCUUUUGCAGCUGUCAAUUUUAGUUUACCUAUUGUAUCAUGCCUUCCAAACUUUUUAUUCCUAGAUUUUCAUAUCACAUAGUCAUUGAAUUUAGAACCUCAGCCUCUGCCCCCUAUGCUUACGAGAGAAAGGGGUGCCUGGGAAAAUAAAUCUAAUUUAUUUCAAAUUUUGAAUCAUAAACCAAGAAGAAAACUGACUUGAAACACCAAGAUCAUAGCCAAAGAGAGAGCCUCCUAAAGCUGCAAUGCAAGCAAAGACGAAAUACCAAGUAAUCCUAUACUCAUACUGAUGAGCCCUUUUAGAUACUGCUUCAUCACCACCAAAUCCUCCUGUGUCGAUUUAAGACAAUCAAGGCAUAAUCAGGAAAGUCUCUCACACCACUUACAUUUACGUCGCGGCUGAUAUAUUUUUUGCAUCCAAUUUUCCAUUAUCUACUCUUUAACUUACUUCUGUUAUAGUUAUUUCAAUCAAUUCUUUAACAUAUAUACUCUUUUUAAGGAAUUGUUGCUACACUUAUUGUCCUUCAAAGAGCAGUAUACCGGAUCAUAAAACAAUUUUCAAGUGUAGUAUUAUUCAAAAGUGUAAUGUCACUGUAAACACGGAAUUUUCCUAAAACAAACGAGACAAGAACACGUGUACAAAAUAAUAUUUGUAUUUGAUGAUUUUGGGUUACAAUCUCUCUCAAAUUUGAUCCUCUGAUUUGAUCU